GGCUCAGAUUGAACGCUGGCGGCAUGCCUUACACAUGCAAGUCGAACGGCAGCGGACCUUCGGGUGCGGCGAGUGGCGAACGGUGAGUAAUAUAUCGGAACGUACCUUUCAGUGGGGGAUAACGUAGCGAAAGUUACGCUAAUACCGCAUAUUCUGUGAGCAGGAAAGCAGGGGAUCGCAAGACCUUGCGCUGAUUGAGCGGCCGAUAUCAGAUUAGCUAGUUGGUGAGGUAAAGGCUCACCAAGGCGACGAUCUGUAGCGGGUCUGAGAGGAUGAUCCGCCACACUGGAACUGAGACACGGUCCAGACUCCUACGGGAGGCAGCAGUGGGGAAUUUUGGACAAUGGGCGCAAGCCUGAUCCAGCCAUGCCGCGUGAGUGAAGAAGGCCUUCGGGUUGUAAAGCUCUUUCGGCCGGGAAGAAAUCGCACAGGUUAAUACCCUGUGUGGAUGACGGUACCGGAAUAAGAAGCACCGGCUAACUACGUG
RNAcentral lists this ribosomal RNA (487 nucleotides) under uncultured bacterium. RNAcentral's name for it is "bacterial SSU rRNA". It matches the Rfam family "Bacterial small subunit ribosomal RNA", at positions 21 to 507 of the family's 1533-position model. The record is from RNAcentral.